GCGCUAUGAUGUAAUAUCAACACAUCAUUCUGAAGAGAAUGGAACAUGUGGAGACUCUUAUUACUGAGCACA
Molecule: small nucleolar RNA, 72 nt
Filed under: Crocodylus porosus (Australian saltwater crocodile)
Lineage: Eukaryota; Metazoa; Chordata; Crocodylia; Crocodylidae
Description: Small nucleolar RNA SNORD63 (ENSCPRG00005003099.1)
Rfam family: Small nucleolar RNA SNORD63
About the family: snoRNA U63 is found in both humans and mice.
Source: Rfam by way of RNAcentral